This 230-nucleotide ribosomal RNA is filed under the name uncultured fungus. RNAcentral describes it as "partial 18S ribosomal RNA". It matches the Rfam family "Eukaryotic small subunit ribosomal RNA", at positions 1045 to 1273 of the family's 1831-position model. Lineage: Eukaryota; Fungi. The record is from RNAcentral.
ACUAGGGAUCGGGCGAACUCAAAUUUAUGUGUCGCUCGGCACCUUACGAGAAAUCAAAGUCUUUGGGUAUCUGGGGGGAGUAUGGUCGCAAGGCUGAAACUUAAAGGAAUUGACGGAAGGGCACCACCAGGUGUGGAGCCUGCGGCUUAAUUUGACUCAACACGGGGAAACUCACCAGGUCCAGACAUAGCUAGGAUUGACAGAUUGAUAGCUCUUUCUUGAUUCUAUGG